AUGCCUUCGCCGCCGCCAACUUAUUACAAGAAUUUGAAGAACCGUGCUGGUGAUGUGUUGACUGAUGAGCAGAUUAAACAGUGUGAAGAGUUGGGGGUUUUGGUUGACAGGGAUGAUCAAGGUACCCUCCUACAGAUUUUCACUAAGCCUGUUGGAGAUAGGUAUGUUAAUUUGCUAAUGCUUAACUAUUUAGUUGUGACUACAUUUAGCUUCAGCAGUAAGUAGCUGCUUUCUUAGGACUCAAGUCAUGCCUUCGAGCCUGUGGCUAUAUUUUGACUUCAAUUUGUGGAUCACAGCACUUAGAAUGCAGGUUUAGAUGUAUUAAAUAACAGAACUUGAGAAUUUAUACAGCCAUUCAUCCACUCUCCUCUUUUGUGUUUCUAACUUUUAAUAGUACUUGUGCUGCUUGUCAGGAAUUGGUUAAUGAUGCCAAUUGGUGCAUUAAUUCUCUGUUCUUUUGUGGUUAUGCUGAUUGCUAUUAAUGUGACAACAGAAAGAAUAUUCAAGAUUUUUGUUUUUUGAAUCGAAAUUUUCAUUGGCUUAAUUGGGUUUUUUUUUUUUUGGGGGGGGGGGGGCAGGCCAACCAUUUUUAUAGAGAUAAUUCAGAGAGUAGGAUGCAUGCUUAAGGAUGAGGAAGGAAAGACGUACCAGAAGGGAGGAUGCGGGGGAUUUGGAAAGGGCAACUUUUCGGAACUUUUCAAGUCCAUUGAGGAAUAUGAGAAGACACUUGGAGCAAAACCAGUUGCCGAGACAGCUGCUGCAUGAAUAUAGACGGCAUUUCUGAACUUAUCUUUGCG
This 797-nucleotide long non-coding RNA is filed under the name Citrus maxima (pomelo). RNAcentral's name for it is "long non-coding RNA (CMAX_LNC003120)". The record is from RNAcentral. Lineage: Eukaryota; Viridiplantae; Streptophyta; Magnoliopsida; Sapindales; Rutaceae.